AUUGAACGCUGGCGGCAGGCUUAACACAUGCAAGUCGAGCGGAAGAAGGGAGCUUGCUUCUGGUUCCAGCGGCGGACGGGGGAGUAAUGCCUAGGAGUCUGCCUGCCUGUGGGGGAUGACGUCCUGAAACGGGCGCUAAUACCGCCUACGUCCUGAGGGAGAAAGCGGGGGUUCUUCGGACCUCACGGUAUCAGAUGAGCCUAGGUCGGAUUAGCCAGUUGGUGGGGUAAAUGCCUACCUAGGCGACGAUCCGUAACUGGACUGAGAGGAUGAUCGGUCACACUGGAACUGAGACACGGUCCAGACUCCUACGGGAGGCAGCAGUGGGGAAUGUUGGGCAAUGGGCGAAAGCCUGAUACAGCCAUGCCGCGUGUGUGAAGAAGGUCUUCGGAUCGUAAAGCACUUUUAGUUGGGAGGAACGGCUGUAAGUUGAGACCUUGCUGGAUUGACGGUACCAACAGAAUAAGCACCGGCUAACUACGUG
This 484-nucleotide ribosomal RNA is filed under the name uncultured bacterium. Its description in RNAcentral is "partial 16S ribosomal RNA". It matches the Rfam family "Bacterial small subunit ribosomal RNA", at positions 30 to 507 of the family's 1533-position model. The record is from RNAcentral.